RNAcentral lists this ribosomal RNA (836 nucleotides) under uncultured archaeon. RNAcentral's name for it is "bacterial SSU rRNA". It matches the Rfam family "Archaeal small subunit ribosomal RNA", at positions 21 to 869 of the family's 1478-position model. The record is from RNAcentral.
GGUUACCGCUAUUGGGAUUCGACUAAGCCAUGCGAGUCACUGGGUUAAACCAGGGCGAACGGCUGAGUAACACGUAGCUAACCUGCCCUUGAGUCAGGGAUAAUCUCGGGAAACUGAGGCUAAUACCUGAUAGAAGACUAUGCCUGGAAGGGUUUGUCUUUGAAACUCGCGCUCAAGGAUGGGGCUGCGGUGGAUUAGGCAGAUGUCAGGGUAAUGACCUGACAUACCUAUAAUCCAUAGGGGCUGUGAGAGCAGAAGCCCCCAGAUGGAUUCUGAGAAACGAAUCCGGGCCCUAAGGGGCGCAGCAGGCGCGAAAACUCCGCAAUGCACGAAAGUGUGACGGGGGGAUCUCAAGUGCCAGCGUAAAGCGUUGGCUUUUCUGAAGUUUAAAUUGCUUCAGGAAUAAGUGGGGGGUAAGACCGUUGCCAGCCGCCGCGGUAAUAACGGCUCCACGAGUGGUAACCACGUGUAUUGGGUCUAAAGCAUCCGUAGCCGGGUUAUUAAGUCUUCUGUGAAAUCCUAUAGAUAACUAUAGGGCGUGCAGUAGAAACUGAUGAUCUUGGGACUGGGAAGAGUUAGAGGUACUUCUAGGGUAGAGGUGGAAUUCUGUAAUCCUAGAGGGACCACCUGUGGCGAAGGCGUCUAACUGGAACGGGUCCGACGGUGAGGGAUGAAAGCUAGGGGAGCAAAGGGGAUUAGAUACCCCCGUAGUCCUAGCUGUAAACGAUGCCCGCUAGGUAUUGCUUAUUCUUCGUGAAUAUGCAGUGCCGUAGGGAAGCCAUUAAGCGGGCCACCUGGGGAGUACGGUCGCAAGGCUGAAACUUAAAGGAAUUGGC